CACGUAGGGGGCGAGCGUUGUCCAGAUUUAUUGGGCGUAAAGAGCUCGUAGGCGGUUCGAUAAGUCGGGUGUGAAAACUCUGGGCUCAACUCAGAGACGCCACCCGAUACUGUUGUGACUUGAGUCCGGUAGGGGAGUAUGGAAUUCCCGGUGUAGCGGUGAAAUGCGCAGAUAUCGGGAGGAACACCAGUGGCGAAGGCGGUACUCUGGGCCGGAACUGACGCUGAGGAGCGAAAGCGUGGGUAGCGAACAGG
Molecule: ribosomal RNA, 254 nt
Filed under: uncultured bacterium
Lineage: Bacteria
Description: partial 16S ribosomal RNA
Rfam family: Bacterial small subunit ribosomal RNA
Source: RNAcentral